UAUGUACUCCCUCCGUCCGGAAUUACUUGUCGCAUAAAUGGAUAGAAAUGGAUGUAUCUACAACUAAAAUACAUCUAGAUACAUCCAGUUCAUCGACAAGUAUUUCUGGACGGAGGGAGUAUUAA
Triticum aestivum (bread wheat) is the source of this 125-nucleotide non-coding RNA. The record is from Rfam. NCBI's taxonomy places the organism in Eukaryota, Viridiplantae, Streptophyta, Magnoliopsida, Poales, Poaceae.